RNAcentral lists this unclassified non-coding RNA (384 nucleotides) under uncultured Phycisphaeraceae bacterium. Its description in RNAcentral is "contains 16S-23S intergenic spacer region". Lineage: Bacteria; Pseudomonadati; Planctomycetota; Phycisphaerae; Phycisphaerales; Phycisphaeraceae. The record is from RNAcentral.
UCCGGUUUGACACCGGCAGUCUCGCUAGAGUACUCGCCAUUACGCGUGAGCAACUAACGACAGGGGUUGCGCUCGUUAAGGGACUUAACCCGACACUUCACAGCACGAGCUGACGACAGCCAUGCAGCACCUGUGCACGUUCCACCCAGAGGGUGUGGCCCCGCUUUCACGGGGUUAAUCCGUACAUGUCAAGCCUAGGUAAGGUUCUUCGCGUUGCCUCGAAUUAAGCAACAUGCUCCACCGCUUGUGUGAGCCCCCGUCAAUUCAUUUGAGUUUUAGCCUUGCGACCGUACUCCCCAGGCGGCACAUUUAUCGUUUUUACUCCGACCGAUACGGCGUCAAAACCGCACCGGUCUAAUGUGCAUCGUUUACGGCGUGGACUAC